AUGAACGCUGGCGGCGUGCCUAAUACAUGCAAGUCGAGCGAACGGACGAGAAGCUUGCUUCUCUGAUGUUAGCGGCGGACGGGUGAGUAACACGUGGAUAACCUACCUAUAAGACUGGGCUAACUUCGGGAAACCGGAGCUAAUACCGGAUAAUAUUUUGAACCGCAUGGUUCAAAAGUGAAAGACGGUCUUGCUGUCACUUAUAGAUGGAUCCGCGCUGCAUUAGCUAGUUGGUAAGGUAACGGCUUACCAAGGCAACGAUGCAUAGCCGACCUGAGAGGGUGAUCGGCCACACUGGAACUGAGACACGGUCCAGACUCCUACGGGAGGCAGCAGUAGGGAAUCUUCCGCAAUGGGCGAAAGCCUGACGGAGCAACGCCGCGUGAGUGAUGAAGGUCUUCGGAUCGUAAAACUCUGUUAUUAGGGAAGAACAUAUGUGUAAGUAACUGUGCACAUCUUGACGGUACCUAAUCAGAAAGCCACGGCUAACUACGUG
This 496-nucleotide ribosomal RNA is filed under the name uncultured bacterium. Its description in RNAcentral is "partial 16S ribosomal RNA". It matches the Rfam family "Bacterial small subunit ribosomal RNA", at positions 29 to 507 of the family's 1533-position model. The record is from RNAcentral.